UGGGCAACGGUAGGUCAGCAUGCCCCGAAUUAUCCGGGCUACACGCGGGCUACAAAUGGUCAGGACAAUGGGUAUCGACACCGAGAGGUGGAGGCAAUCUCCUAAACCUGUCCUUAGUUCGGAUUGUGGGCUGCAACUCGCCCACAUGAAGCUGGAAUCCGUAGUAAUCGCGUUUCAAAAUAGCGCGGUGAAUAUGUCCCUGCUCCUU
This 208-nucleotide ribosomal RNA is filed under the name uncultured Methanolinea sp. RNAcentral's name for it is "partial 16S ribosomal RNA". It matches the Rfam family "Archaeal small subunit ribosomal RNA", at positions 1132 to 1338 of the family's 1478-position model. Lineage: Archaea; Methanobacteriati; Methanobacteriota; Methanomicrobia; Methanomicrobiales; Methanoregulaceae. The record is from RNAcentral.